RNAcentral lists this ribosomal RNA (1294 nucleotides) under uncultured bacterium. RNAcentral's name for it is "bacterial SSU rRNA". It matches the Rfam family "Bacterial small subunit ribosomal RNA", at positions 173 to 1446 of the family's 1533-position model. The record is from RNAcentral.
UUUUUAAACGAAAAAUAUUGAAUAUUUAAAGAUUAAAUAUCGCUUUAAGAUGAGCUUAUGCAGGAUUAGGUAGUUGGUGGGGUAAUAGCCUACCAAGCCUAUGAUCCUUAGCUGAUCUGAGAGGAUGGUCAGCCACACUAGAACUGAGACAAGGUCUAGGCUUAUGCCAGCAGUGGGGAAUCUUGGACAAUGGGCGAAAGCUUGAUCCAGUAAUAUUGCAUGAAUGAGGACAGCACAAAAGAUUUGGGAGUUUUCUCUCAAGUCGGCUGUAAAAUUCUUUCGCUGGUGAGGAUAAUGACUGUAACCAGAGAAGAAGCUCCGGCUAACUUCGUGCCAGCAGCCGCGGUAAUACGAAGGGAGCAAGCGUUAUCCUAAAUGAUUGGGCGUAAAGGGUUCGUAGGUGGUAAUUGUUGUCAUAUGUGAAAUUUUAAAAUAAUAUUUUAAAUCGGCGUAUGAUACUCUUUUACUUGAGUAUAUUAGGGGAUAACAGAAUGUUAUAUGGAGGAGUAAAAUCUUAUGAUCUAUAAUGGAAUGCCAGCGGCGAAAGCGGUUAUCUGGGAUAUAUACUGACACUGAGGANCGAAUGCGUGGGGAGCAAACAGGAUUAGAUACCCUGGUAGUCCACGCUGUCAAAGAUGAGUGCUACCAUUGGAGUUAUUCAGAUGUAUAGUCCACACGNUAAGCACUCCGCCUGGGGAGUACGAUCGCAAGAUUGGAACUCAAAGGAAUUGACGGGGAUCUACACAAGUGGUGGAGCAUGUGGUUUAAUGCGAUAAUACACGCGGAAUCUUACCAGUUCUUGAAUAUAAUUUUGACAAUAUUAAUAUUAUUGUUUAUUGACAAAGUAUCACACUUUUAUAAUAAAAUUAUACAGGUGUUGCAUGGCUGUCGUCAGCUCGUGCCGUGAGGUGUUCGGUUAAGUCCUUUAACGAGCGAAACUCUUAUUUUAUGUUGGUAAUUUGAAGUCUGAAAAGAUUUUAAUCCACUCAUAAAAAACUGCUAGUGAUAAACUAGAGGAAGGUGAGAACGACGUCAAGCCCUUAUGGCCCUUAUGAACUGGGCUACGCACGUGCUACAAUGGUAAUUACAAAAAGUUAUACAAUGGAGAAAUUCGGAGUAAAUCUUUAAAAGUUACCGUGUUCAGAUUAUAGGCUGCAACUCGCCUAUAUGAAGGUGGAAUCACAAGUAAUCGUAAAUCAGAAUGUUACGGUGAAUUUGUACUUAGAUCUUGCACACACCGCCCGUCACAUGCCGGAAGUGAAUUUUGUUCGAAAUUUUGAAAAGAUAUAUCUAU